UAGGGAAUCUUCGGCAAUGGACGAAAGUCUGACCGAGCAACGCCGCGCGAGUGAAGAAGGUUUUCGGAUCGUAAAACUCUGUUGUUAGAGAAGAACAAGGACGUUAGUAACUGAACGUCCCCUGACGGUAUCUAACCAGAAAGCCACGGCUAACUACGUGCCAGCAGCCGCGGUAAUACGUAGGUGGCAAGCGUUGUCCGGAUUUAUUGGGCGUAAAGCGAGCGCAGGCGGUUUCUUAAGUCUGAUGUGAAAGCCCCCGGCUCAACCGGGGAGGGUCAUUGGAAACUGGGGGACUUGAGUGCAGAAGGGGAGUGUAGAUUUCCAUGUGUAGCGGUGAAAUGCGUAGAUAUAUGGGGGAACACCAGUGGCGAAGGCGGCUCUCUGGUCUGUCACUGGCUCUGGGGCUCGAGAGCGUGGGGAGCAAACAGU
Molecule: ribosomal RNA, 429 nt
Filed under: Gemmatimonadota bacterium
Lineage: Bacteria; Pseudomonadati; Gemmatimonadota
Description: Gemmatimonadetes bacterium partial 16S ribosomal RNA
Rfam family: Bacterial small subunit ribosomal RNA
Source: RNAcentral